UGACGCUGAAGCUCGAAGGUGCGGGUAUCGAACAGGAUUAGAUACCCUGGUAGUCCGCACAGUAAACGAUGGAUGCUCGUUGUUCGCCCAAUUGAGGGUGAGUGACUUAGGGAAACCGUUAAGCAUCCCACCUGGGGAGUACGCCGGCAACGGUGAAACUCAAAGGAAUUGACGGGGGCCCGCACAAGCGGAGGAACAUGUGGUUUAAUUCGAUGAUACGCGAGGAACCUUACCCGGGCUUGAACUGUAGGAGAACGAUACAGAGAUGUUGAGGUCCUUCGGGACUCCUAUGGAGGUGCUGCAUGGUUGUCGUCAGCUCGUGCCGUGAGGUGUCGGCUUAAGUGCCAUAACGAGCGCAACCCUUUUCGUCAGUUGCCAUCAGGUCAUGCUGGGCACUCUGGUGAUACUGCCGCCGCAAGGUGUGAGGAAGGUGGGGAUGACGUCAAAUCAGCACGGCCCUUACGUCCGGGGCUACACACGUGUUACAAUGGGGCAUACAGAAGGCCGGUUCGUGGCAACACGGAUCCAAUCUUUAAAGUGCCUCGUAGUUCGGAUUGGGGUCUGCAACCCGACCCCAUGAAGCUGGAUCGCUAGUAAUCG
RNAcentral lists this ribosomal RNA (600 nucleotides) under uncultured bacterium. Its description in RNAcentral is "bacterial SSU rRNA". It matches the Rfam family "Bacterial small subunit ribosomal RNA", at positions 741 to 1344 of the family's 1533-position model. The record is from RNAcentral.